UACGAAGGGGGCUAGCGUUGCUCGGAAUUACUGGGCGUAAAGCGCACGUAGGCGGCUUGUUAAGUCAGGGGUGAAAUCCUGGAGCUCAACUCCAGAACUGCCUUUGAUACGGGCGAGCUUGAGUUCGGGAGAGGUGAGUGGAACUGCGAGUGUAGAGGUGAAAUUCGUAGAUAUUCGCAAGAACACCAGUGGCGAAGGCGGCUCACUGGCCCGAUACUGACGCUGAGGUGCGAAAGCGUGGGGAGCAAACAGG
Molecule: ribosomal RNA, 253 nt
Filed under: uncultured bacterium
Lineage: Bacteria
Description: partial 16S ribosomal RNA
Rfam family: Bacterial small subunit ribosomal RNA
Source: RNAcentral